GGAAAAGAAACCAACAGGGAUUGCCUCAGUAACGGCGAGUGAAGCGGCAACAGCUCAAAUUUGAAAUCUGGCCCUCUCAGGGCCCGAGUUGUAAUUUGGAGAAGAUGCUUCGGGUGCGGCCCCGGUCUAAGUUCCUUGGAACAGGACGUCACAGAGGGUGAGAAUCCCGUACGUGCCCGGCCGCCGCGCCCGUGUGAAGCUCUUUCGACGAGUCGAGUUGUUUGGGAAUGCAGCUCAAAAUGGGUGGUAAAUUUCAUCUAAAGCUAAAUAUUGGCCAGAGACCGAUAGCGCACAAGUAGAGUGAUCGAAAGAUGAAAAGCACUUUGGAAAGAGAGUUAAACAGUACGUGAAAUUGUUGAAAGGGAAGCGCUUGCGACCAGACUUGGGCGCGGCCGAUCACCCGGUGCUCGCACCGGUGCACUCGACCGCGCCCAGGCCAGCAUCGGUUUGGGUGGCUGGAGAAAGGCCCCGGGAAUGUAGCUCCCCUCGGGGAGUGUUAUAGCCCGGGGCGCAAUGCAGCCCACCCGGACCGAGGACCGCG
Molecule: ribosomal RNA, 541 nt
Filed under: Pseudogymnoascus destructans
Lineage: Eukaryota; Fungi; Ascomycota; Leotiomycetes; Thelebolales; Thelebolaceae
Also listed under: 1 other name
Description: eukaryotic LSU rRNA
Rfam family: Eukaryotic large subunit ribosomal RNA
Source: RNAcentral